Long non-coding RNA from Gossypium raimondii (Peruvian cotton), 952 nucleotides. RefSeq lists it as uncharacterized. The record is from RefSeq and is a predicted model, not a curated record. The transcript is spliced from 3 exons. Lineage: Eukaryota; Viridiplantae; Streptophyta; Magnoliopsida; Malvales; Malvaceae.
CUUGUGAGCCUAUCCCUUUUUUUUUUUCAUUUCUUCUUUGAUCUCUUCUUCUUUCUUUUUUUUUCAUUUCUUCUAACCCUAACCUUCUUUGGCCAACCAUCAUCACCAAAUGACUUCUUUUUGUCUCUUCUUUCCAAAUCUCACUUCAAAUUUCCCAAUAGGCUUUCAAAAUCCCGAGAUUAAGACCUCAAAGCUUUGAAUAAGGCUUCAACGGAUCUCCAUCGUCUACUGUCGAAUAGUCACCAUAUUCCGCCCACAGCUCUUCUUUAACCAACCAUGGCUCGACUGUUCAAAUCAUUGAACUGGGGUCCCGAGUUAUCCAACCCGUGAAACCCGAAGCGGAUAUAGGUACAAGUAGAGUUUUGAUAAGUUGAACGAUCAUUAAAGCAUCCAACUUACAACUCCUGACUUACCAAGUUUGUAAUCGUCUUAUUUUGUGUUAUAAGGGCACGUACCUAGAUUGAGUCAUUUAGUACCUAGUUAAGUAUAUAUACCAAACGUCUAGCAUUCCCUCACGCUCGGCGUCAAUGAGUUUUUUUAUUUGAUGGAAAGAAAAAAGAAGACUAUGCCUUCGCCCUAUGAAAUAUGAAUUAGCUUUGACAAUGUGAAAUUGCAAAAACAGUUAGUGACGUUGUGACUUCGUUCAAAAGACGUUGCAACGAGGAUAUCAUGUUGUGACGUCGUAUGUUUGUUGCCCGGACGAGCUUGAAUUCUAGGUCACGGUGUGACGAGGUACCUUAUCUUCUUGACGAGACCAAGACAUUGAGUCACGUCGCGACGAGAAAUUCCCUCAUGUCAUGACAUCCACUCUGAAUUUUGAAACAUUUCAUUUUGGUCCUUUUUCAAUUUUGAUUUAGCUUUAGAGCUUCAAUAAGCUCGUGUAAAGCCUGAGAAUGAUUGUAUUACAUGUUGUAUGUUUAUUUUUAUUAGUAAAGUUGCAAAAUUUUUAAAA